GAUGAACGCUGGCGGCGUGCCUAAUACAUGCAAGUCGAGCGAACGGACGAGAAGCUUGCUUCUCUGAUGUUAGCGGCGGACGGGUGAGUAACACGUGGAUAACCUACCUAUAAGACUGGGAUAACUUCGGGAAACCGGAGCUAAUACCGGAUGAUAUUUUGAACCGCAUUGUUCAAAAGUGAAAGACGGUCUUGCUUUCACUUAUAGAUGGAUCCGCGCUGCAUUAGCUAGUUGGUAAGGUAACGGCUUACCAAGGCAACGAUGCAUAGCCGACCUGAAAGGGGACUCGGCCACACUGGAACUGAGACACGGUCCAGACUCCUACGGGAGGCAGCAGUAGGGAAUCUUCCGCGAUGGGCGAAAGCCUGACGGAGCAACGCCGCGUGAGUGAUGAAGGUCUUCGGAUCGUAAAACUCUGUUAUUAGGGAAGAACAUAUGUGUAAGUAACUGUGCACAUCUUGACGGUACCUAAUCAGAAAGCCACGGCUAACUACGUG
Molecule: ribosomal RNA, 497 nt
Filed under: uncultured bacterium
Lineage: Bacteria
Description: partial 16S ribosomal RNA
Rfam family: Bacterial small subunit ribosomal RNA
Source: RNAcentral